Molecule: ribosomal RNA, 460 nt
Filed under: uncultured bacterium
Lineage: Bacteria
Description: partial 16S ribosomal RNA
Rfam family: Bacterial small subunit ribosomal RNA
Source: RNAcentral
CCUACGGGAGGCAGCAGUGAGGAAUAUUGGUCAAUGGGCGCGAGCCUGAACCAGCCAAGUCGCGUGAGGGAAGACGGUCCUAUGGAUUGUAAACCUCUUUUGCCGGGGAGCAAGCUGGGUCACGUGUGACCCAGCUGAGAGUACCCGGAGAAAAAGCAUCGGCUAACUCCGUGCCAGCAGCCGCGGUAAUACGGAGGAUGCGAGCGUUAUCCGGAUUUAUUGGGUUUAAAGGGUGCGUAGGCGGACUGUCAAGUCAGCGGUAAAAUUGAGAGGCUCAACCUCUUCCCGCCGUUGAAACUGGUGGUCUUGAGUGGAUGAGAAGUACGCGGAAUGCGUGGUGUAGCGGUGAAAUGCAUAGAUAUCACGCAGAACUCCGAUUGCGAAGGCAGCGUACCGGCAUCCAACUGACGCUGAGGCACGAAAGCGUGGGGAUCAAACAGGAUUAGAUACCCCUGUAGUC